Molecule: ribosomal RNA, 1121 nt
Filed under: uncultured bacterium
Lineage: Bacteria
Description: bacterial SSU rRNA
Rfam family: Bacterial small subunit ribosomal RNA
Source: RNAcentral
CUGCACCAAUGGGCGAAAGCUUGAUGCAGCGACGCGCGUGGGGGAUGAGCUCUCGGAGGUGUAAACCCCUUCGAUCGACGAUGCCGCAGGGAUGACGUACGGAUAUAAGAAGCCCCGGCUAACUACGUGCCAGCAGCGCGGUAAUACGUAGGGGCCCAGCGUGUUUGGAAUUACUGGGUGUAAAGGGUUCGUAGGCGGUGCGGCAAGUUGGGAGUGAAAUCUCUGGGCUCAACUCAGAGACGGCUUCCAAAACUGCCGUGCUUGAGUGUGAGAGAGGCUCGUGGAAUUGCAGGUGUAGCGGUGAAAUGCGUAGAUAUCUGCAGGAACACCCGUGGCGAAAGCGGCGAGCUGGAUCACUACUGACGCUGAAGAACGAAAGCUAGGGGAGCAAACAGGAUUAGAUACCCUGGUAGUCCUAGCCCUAAACGAUCAGGACUUGGGGUGUCACCCGUUCGGGUGACGUCCCGGAGCUAACGCGUUAAGUCCUGCACCUGGGGAGUACGGUCGCAAGACUGAAACUCAAAGGAAUUGACGGGGGCCCGCACAAGCGGUGGAACAUGUGGUUCAAUUCGACGCUACGCGAGGAACCUUACCUGGGCUCGAAAUGCUAGUGACCAGCUGUAGAAAUACGGCCUUCCCGCAAGGGACACUAGUAUAGGCGCUGCAUGGCUGUCGUCAGCUCGUGCCGUGAGAUGUUGGGUUAAGUCCCGCAACGAGCGCAACCCCUGUCCUAUGUUGCCAGCGGGUAAUGCCGGGGACUCAUGGGAGACCGCCGGUGCCAAACCGGAGGAAGGUGGGGAUGAAGUCAAGUCAGCAUGCCCCUUACGUCCAGGGCUGCACACGCGCUACAAUGGCCGGUACAAAGGGUUGCAAACUCGCGAGGGUGAGCUAAUCCCAAAAAACCGGUCUCAGUUCGGAUUGCAGUCUGCAACUCGACUGCAUGAAGUCGGAGUCGCUAGUAAUCGCAGAUCAGCACGCUGCGGUGAAUACAUUCCCGGGCCUUGUACACACCGCCCGUCACACCACGAAAGUCGGCAACACCCGAAGCCGGUGGCCCAACCCUUUUGGGAGGGAGCCGUCGAAGGUGGGGUUGGCGAUUGGGGUGAAGUCGUAACAAGGUA